Molecule: ribosomal RNA, 682 nt
Filed under: Clavicorona taxophila
Lineage: Eukaryota; Fungi; Basidiomycota; Agaricomycetes; Agaricales; Clavariaceae
Description: LSU rRNA
Rfam family: Eukaryotic large subunit ribosomal RNA
Source: RNAcentral
ACUUAAGCAUAUCAAUAAGCGGAGGAAAAGAAACUAACAAGGAUUCCCCUAGUAACUGCGAGUGAAGAGGGAAGAGCUCAAAUUUAAAAUCUGGCAGUCUUAUGUCUGUCCGAGUUGUAAAUUAGAGAAGCGUUAUCCGCGCUGGCCUGUGCAAAAGUCUCUUGGAAAAGAGCAUCAUAGAGGGUGACAAUCCCGUCUUUGGCACAGACUACCAGGGCUUUUGUGAUGCGUUCUCGAUGAGUCGAGUUGUUUGGGAAUGCAGCUCUAAAUGGGUGGUAAAUUCCAUCUAAAGCUAAAUAUUGGCGAGAAACCGAUAGCGCACAAGUACCGUGAGGGAAAGAUGAAAAGAACUUUGAAAAGAGAGUUAAACAGUACGUGAAAUUGUUGAAAGGGAAACGCUUGAAGUCAGUCGUGUCCUUCAGAAAUCAACCUGACUUUCGUUGGGCGUACUUUCUGUUGGAUGGGUCAGCAUCAAUUUUGAUCGUUGGAUAAAGGCCUCGGGAAUGUGGCAUCUUCGGAUGUGUUAUAGACCUUGGUUCGCAUACAAUGGUUGGGAUUGAGGAACUCAGUGUGACUUAUGUUUGGGGCUUCGGCCUACACUACGCACUUAGGAUGCUGGCAUAAUGGCUUUAAUCGACCCGUCUUGAAACACGGACCAAGGAGUCUAACAUACAUGCGAGUG